GACGAACGCUGGCGGCGUGCUUAACACAUGCAAGUCGAACGGAAAGGCCCUGCUUUUGUGGGGUGCUCGAGUGGCGAACAGGUGAGUGACACGUGAGUAACAUGCCCUUGACUGUGGGAUAACUCCAGGAAAAUGGGGCUCAUACCCGAUAGGAGCUCCUGCUGCACGGUGGGGGUUAGAAAGUGCCGGCGGUUGGGGAUGGUAUAGAGGCUUACCAGCUGGUUGGGGGGGUUGUGGAGUACAAAGCCUUUGAGGGGUAGCCGGCCUGGGAGGGGGACCGGCCACCUUGGUACUGAGAGAGGCCCCAGACGCCUACGGGAGGCAGUAGGGGGGAACAUUGCACAAUGGGCGGAAGCCUGAUGCAGCAACGUCGCGUGCGGGAUGACGGCUUUCGGGUGGUAAACCGCUUUCGCCGGUGACGAAGCGUGAGUGACGGUAAUGGGUAAAGAAGCACCGGCUAACUACGUG
This 468-nucleotide ribosomal RNA is filed under the name uncultured bacterium. RNAcentral describes it as "partial 16S ribosomal RNA". It matches the Rfam family "Bacterial small subunit ribosomal RNA", at positions 28 to 507 of the family's 1533-position model. The record is from RNAcentral.